GACGAACGCUGGCGGCGUGCGUAUACAUGCAAGUAGAACGCUGAAGGAGGAGCUUGCUUCUCCGGAUGAGUUGCGAACGGGUGAGUAACGCGUAGGUAACCUGCCUGGUAGCGGGGGAUAACUAUUGGAAACGAUAGCUAAUACCGCAUAACAGUAGAUAUUGCAUGAUAUCUGCUUGAAAGGUGCAAUUGCAUCACUACCAGAUGGACCUGCGUUGUAUUAGCUAGUUGGUGAGGUAACGGCUCACCAAGGCGACGAUACAUAGCCGACCUGAGAGGGUGAUCGGCCACACUGGGACUGAGACACGGCCCAGACUCCUACGGGAGGCAGCAGUAGGGAAUCUUCGGCAAUGGACGGAAGUCUGACCGAGCAACGCCGCGUGAGUGAAGAAGGUUUUCGGAUCGUAAAGCUCUGUUGUAAGAGAAGAACGAGUGUGAGAGUGGAAAGUUCACACUGUGACGGUAUCUUACCAGAAAGGGACGGCUAACUACGUGCCAGCAGCCGCGGUAAUACGUAGGUCCCGAGCGUUGUCCGGAUUUAUUGGGCGUAAAGCGAGCGCAGGCGGUUAGAUAAGUCUGAAGUUAAAGGCUGUGGCUUAACCAUAGUACGCUUUGGAAACUGUUUAACUUGAGUGCAAGAGGGGAGAGUGGAAUUCCAUGUGUAGCGGUGAAAUGCGUAGAUAUAUGGAGGAACACCGGUGGCGAAAGCGGCUCUCUGGCUUGUAACUGACGCUGAGGCUCGAAAGCGUGGGGAGCAAACAGG
RNAcentral lists this ribosomal RNA (762 nucleotides) under uncultured Streptococcus sp. RNAcentral's name for it is "bacterial SSU rRNA". It matches the Rfam family "Bacterial small subunit ribosomal RNA", at positions 28 to 776 of the family's 1533-position model. Lineage: Bacteria; Bacillati; Bacillota; Bacilli; Lactobacillales; Streptococcaceae. The record is from RNAcentral.